GGUGGCUCAGUGGUAGAGUGCUUGUGUUGCAUGCAUGAGGCCUGAGUUCAAUUCCUCAGCACCA
Molecule: transfer RNA, 64 nt
Filed under: Dipodomys ordii (Ord's kangaroo rat)
Lineage: Eukaryota; Metazoa; Chordata; Mammalia; Rodentia; Heteromyidae
Rfam family: tRNA
About the family: Transfer RNA (tRNA) molecules are approximately 80 nucleotides in length. Their secondary structure includes four short double-helical elements and three loops (D, anti-codon, and T loops).
Source: Rfam by way of RNAcentral